This 482-nucleotide ribosomal RNA is filed under the name uncultured bacterium. RNAcentral describes it as "partial 16S ribosomal RNA". It matches the Rfam family "Bacterial small subunit ribosomal RNA", at positions 28 to 507 of the family's 1533-position model. The record is from RNAcentral.
GAUGAACGCUAGCGGCAGGCCUAAUACAUGCAAGUCGGACGGGAUUCAGGAGCUUGCUUCUGAUGAGAGUGGCGCACGGGUGCGUAACACGUAUGUAACCUACCUUUAUCAGGGGGAUAGCCUCUCGAAAGAGAGAUUAAGCCCGCAUAAAAUCACAGCACAGCAUUGUGUAAUGAUCAAAUAUUUAUAGGAUAAAGAUGGGCAUGCGGAACAUUAGCUAGAUGGCGGGGUAACGGCCCACCAUGGCGACGAUGUUUAGGGGAUCUGAGAGGAUGGCCCCCCACACUGGUACUGAGACACGGACCAGACUCCUACGGGAGGCAGCAGUAAGGAAUAUUGGUCAAUGGGCGGAAGCCUGAACCAGCCAUGCCGCGUGCAGGAAGACGGCCAUACGGGUUGUAAACUGCUUUUAGACGGGAAUAAACCCAGAUACGUGUAUCUGGCUGAAUGUACUGUAAGAAUAAGGAUCGGCUAACUCCGUG